GUCGGCUCUUCCUAUCAUUGUGA
RNAcentral lists this non-coding RNA (23 nucleotides) under Arabidopsis thaliana (thale cress). RNAcentral also lists the same sequence under 2 other names. The record is from RNAcentral. Lineage: Eukaryota; Viridiplantae; Streptophyta; Magnoliopsida; Brassicales; Brassicaceae.